Molecule: non-coding RNA, 85 nt
Filed under: Candidatus Caccomorpha excrementavium
Lineage: Bacteria; Bacillati; Bacillota; Clostridia
Description: S10-Clostridia ribosomal protein leader
Rfam family: S10-Clostridia ribosomal protein leader
Source: RNAcentral
UGAUAGCGUAGAAGCGUGAGGUUGCCGCACAAGAGAUGCGGGUUUUUCCGUGGAGCGAAUGUCAUGUUAUGAAGACUGGCGACAA